CACGUAAGCAACCUGCCCCAAAGACCGGGACAACGUUCCGAAAGGAGCGCUAAUACCGGAUGUGCCCAUUCUGUGACAUCGCGGGAUGAGUAAAGCGCGCAAUCGGCUUUGGGAGGGGCUUGCGGCCUAUCAGCUAGAUGGUGGGGUAACGGCCUACCAUGGCGACGACGGGUAGCUGGUCUGAGAGGAUGGUCAGCCGGAUUGGGACUGAGAUACGGCCCAG
This 223-nucleotide ribosomal RNA is filed under the name uncultured bacterium. RNAcentral's name for it is "partial 16S ribosomal RNA". It matches the Rfam family "Bacterial small subunit ribosomal RNA", at positions 114 to 334 of the family's 1533-position model. The record is from RNAcentral.